Molecule: long non-coding RNA, 733 nt
Filed under: Chinchilla lanigera (long-tailed chinchilla)
Lineage: Eukaryota; Metazoa; Chordata; Mammalia; Rodentia; Chinchillidae
Description: lncRNA (ENSCLAG00000028810.1)
Source: RNAcentral
UGGGUCUUGAUGAACUGCAGAAACUCCCUGAGGGGUCAGGAGUAAGGGGCAGGCUGCAGGGGACGCAGCACAGAACCCCACCAAGGCUCUAGGGAGCCCUCUGGGGGACGCAAGGUCACACUGCCCAUGGGUCUCGCGGGGACAGAUUCAAACUGUCCUGGUUCACCAUGGAUGGCUGUGGUCUUGGACAGCACAGCUGACUUCUCUGAGCCGGCAUUCUGCACUAUAAAAUGACGGAGAUCACAUUUCCUUCCUCUCAGCUCCUGCAAGCCAUACUAAAUCACGGGAGACAGACAGACAGACAAAGGGACCUGGCAUCUCCCAGGAUUAAUUACUCCAACCCCUCACAGGUCACUUAGGGGAUGAAGAACGCUGCUGCUGAUGGAGACAAGUCUCAGCUUGUAUAAGCCGUGUCCCCAUUUACAAGGUGCCAUCACAGAUCACAGGCCACCAAGGUCGGAGAACAGGCCUACCACCUCACCGAUCCCCAUCUUACAGACAGGGCACUGGGAUUCAGAGUGGUGCUGUCCAAAGCUAGAGAUCCCUGCUGAGCCCUGGUCAUGAUUCUAGUCCAGUACUCACUCUGCCUCCCUGUAACUGCUAAAUACGCAAAUACGUAGAGCAUUAUUUUUCACACCAUCCUCUGCUUCCUAUCUAUACAGCAAAAUUCUACUUUCGCCUUUGCAGAGAAAAACAGAAAAGAUUAAACAGUUUAUAAAAAUGUGAAAUGAGG